UCGUGGGGUGAUUUGUCUGCUUAAUUGCGAUAACGAACGAGACCUUAACCUGCUAAAUAGCCAGGCUAGCUUUGGCUGGUCGCCGGCUUCUUAGAGGGACUAUCGGCUCAAGCCGAUGGAAGUUUGAGGCAAUAACA
This 137-nucleotide ribosomal RNA is filed under the name uncultured eukaryote. RNAcentral describes it as "partial 18S ribosomal RNA". It matches the Rfam family "Eukaryotic small subunit ribosomal RNA", at positions 1299 to 1458 of the family's 1831-position model. The record is from RNAcentral.